Molecule: unclassified non-coding RNA, 498 nt
Filed under: Clostridium sp. rennanqilfy3
Lineage: Bacteria; Bacillati; Bacillota; Clostridia; Eubacteriales; Clostridiaceae
Description: 16S-23S ribosomal RNA intergenic spacer
Rfam family: Bacterial large subunit ribosomal RNA (bases 290-498)
Source: RNAcentral
GGGGUGAAGUCGUAACAAGGUAACCGUAGGGGAACCUGCGGUUGGAUCACCUCCUUACCUGAAAGAACCUGCCUUUGUAGUGUCCACACAGAUUGUCUGAUGAAUGAUAAAUUUCAAAAUGUACUGAGAAGUGCAUUGUGAAAUUUUGCUCUUUAAAAAUCUGGAUCAAGCUGAAAAUUGAAACGACGCACUGUUUCCUUUCUCCGUAAUAAGAAAGGAAAAAUGGUGUGUUCGAGUCUCUCAAAUUUUCGCAACGCGGACUGUUUUACGAAACAGUUUCGGGUUGUGAGGUUAAGCGACUAAGCGUACACGGUGGAUGCCCUGGCAGUCAGAGGCGAUGAAGGACGUGCUAAUCUGCGAUAAGCGUCGGUAAGGUGAUAUGAACCGGUAUAACCGGCGAUUUCCGAAUGGGGAAACCCAGUGUGUUUCGACACACUAUCGUUAAGUGAAUACAUAGCUUAACGAAGCGAACCGGGGGAACUGAAACAUCUAAGUACC